UUUUUUCCUUAACUUUUGUUUCUAUUGUGUUCUGUUGGGCCGUUGGGUGCCCACAAGAGGGUUCGAAACCUGAACCUCGUCGAAACAUAAGGCUGUUGAACCCUUGAAGGCUAACUAUAUAAAAGAGUUUUCUUGAUUGGGUCAAUCUGAAGACCCACUUGACAUCAAGAAGCGUUACCUUGAUCUGAAUAGUCUGCAAGCUAGAGAAGAAUCGGCCAUUAGGCAAGCAGAAGCUGAGGCAGAGAGAAAAGGUGUGGGUGUAAUUAGCGUGGCCCAGAAUAUUUUUGAGGCCUUGUCUAAAACGUAUGUUCUUAACCCUUUUUCUCGUAAGGAUCUGAUCAUUAAGAAAUUCGGUAGCAGUUGUAUGAUGUUACUAUUAUUAUUUGUUGCAUUUUAUUGAGCAUAAUUUGCCCAUUACUUAGCCAAUGAGCUCUACCUCAAAUGGCACCUGUAAAACUAAGGUGAAGGGUGGGGUUGUGGAUGGUUGUGUGUACCUAAACAGUUGUUGCAAUUUGCAGUCAUUGGUAUAGUUAUCUUCGGUAGUUACUAAAUCUACAA
Molecule: long non-coding RNA, 558 nt
Organism: Quercus robur (English oak)
Lineage: Eukaryota; Viridiplantae; Streptophyta; Magnoliopsida; Fagales; Fagaceae
Exons: 2
Source: RefSeq, a predicted model, not a curated record